UAGGGAAUCUUCGGCAAUGGACGAAAGUCUGACCGAGCAACGCCGCGUGAGUGAAGAAGGUUUUCGGAUCGUAAAACUCUGUUGUUAGAGAAGAACAAGGACGUUAGUAACUGAACGUCCCCUGACGGUAUCUAACCAGAAAGCCACGGCUAACUACGUGCCAGCAGCCGCGGUAAUACGUAGGUGGCAAGCGUUGUCCGGAUUUAUUGGGCGUAAAGCGAGCGCAGGCGGUUUCUUAAGUCUGAUGUGAAAGCCCCCGGCUCAACCGGGGAGGGUCAUUGGAAACUUGGAGACUUGAGUGCAGAAGAGGAGAGUGGAAUUCCAUGGGGAGCGGUGAAAUGCGUAGAUAUAUGGAGGAACACCAGUGGCGAAGGCGGCUCUCUGGUCUGUAACUGACGCUGAGGCUCGAAAGCGUGGGGAGCAAACAGG
This 429-nucleotide ribosomal RNA is filed under the name Gemmatimonadota bacterium. RNAcentral describes it as "Gemmatimonadetes bacterium partial 16S ribosomal RNA". It matches the Rfam family "Bacterial small subunit ribosomal RNA", at positions 355 to 776 of the family's 1533-position model. The record is from RNAcentral. Lineage: Bacteria; Pseudomonadati; Gemmatimonadota.